UGGGGAAUAUUGCACAAUGGGCGCAAGCCUGAUGCAGCCAUGCCGCGUGUAUGAAGAAGGCCUUCGGGUUGUAAAGUACUUUCAGUCGGGAGGAAGGUGGUAAGGUUAAUAACCUUAUCAAUUGACGUUACCGACAGAAGAAGCACCGGCUAACUCCGUGCCAGCAGCCGCGGUAAUACGGAGGGUGCAAGCGUUAAUCGGAAUUACUGGGCGUAAAGCACACGCAGGCGGUUGAUUGAGUCAGAUGUGAAAUCCCCGGGCUUAACCCGGGAAUUGCAUCUGAUACUGGUCAGCUAGAGUCUUGUAGAGGGGGGUAGAAUUCCAUGUGUAGCGGUGAAAUGCGUAGAGAUGUGGAGGAAUACCGGUGGCGAAGGCGGCCCCCUGGACAAAGACUGACGCUCAGGUGCGAAAGCGUGGGGAGCAAACAGG
Molecule: ribosomal RNA, 429 nt
Filed under: Chloroflexota bacterium
Lineage: Bacteria; Bacillati; Chloroflexota
Description: Chloroflexi bacterium partial 16S ribosomal RNA
Rfam family: Bacterial small subunit ribosomal RNA
Source: RNAcentral